Molecule: ribosomal RNA, 318 nt
Filed under: uncultured eukaryote
Lineage: Eukaryota
Description: partial 18S ribosomal RNA
Rfam family: Eukaryotic small subunit ribosomal RNA
Source: RNAcentral
CCCCUCCAUGUCCUGGGCCGCACGCGGGCUACAAUGUGGGGGAAAGAGGGCGCUGCGACUUGCGCAGGAGUGUGCCAUCCCGAAAGGGAGCGCGAAGCCUGAACCCGAGCUCACGUGUCGAGGAUCUGCGUUUGGAACGAACGUAGUGAAAGAGGAAUGCCUUGUCGUUGCGCUUCAUGAGAGCGCGGCGAAUACGUCCCUGCCUUUUGUACACACCGCCCGUCGCUUCAACUGAUUUUGGGGGUUUUGAGGCGCUUGGAGCCAGCAAUGGUGAAGGGCGUCGAGGGAUCGCCGGGAGAGGAUGAAGAAGUCGUANCA